Molecule: ribosomal RNA, 467 nt
Filed under: uncultured bacterium
Lineage: Bacteria
Description: partial 16S ribosomal RNA
Rfam family: Bacterial small subunit ribosomal RNA
Source: RNAcentral
GAUGAACGCUGACAGAAUGCUUAACACAUGCAAGUCAACUUGAAUUUGGGUUUUUAACUUAGGUUUGGGUGGCGGACGGGUGAGUAACGCGUAAAGAACUUGCCUCACAGCUAGGGACAACAUUUGGAAACGAAUGCUAAUACCUAAUAUUAUGAUAAUAGGGCAUCCUAUAAUUAUGAAAGCUAUAAGCGCUGUGAGAGAGCUUUGCGUCCCAUUAGCUAGUUGGAGAGGUAACGGCUCACCAAGGCGAUGAUGGGUAGCCGGCCUGAGAGGGUGAUCGGCCACAAGGGGACUGAGACACGGCCCUUACUCCUACGGGAGGCAGCAGUGGGGAAUAUUGGACAAUGGACCGAGAGUCUGAUCCAGCAAUUCUGUGUGCACGAUGAAGUUUUUCGGAAUGUAAAGUGCUUUCAGUUGGGAAGAAACAAAUGACGGUACCAACAGAGGAAGUGACGGCUAAAUACGUG